UUUAUUGGAGAGUUUGAUCCUGGCUCAGGAUGAACGCUGGCGGCGUGCCUAAUACAUGCAAGUCGAGCGAAUGGAUUAAGAGCUUGCUCUUAUGAAGUUAGCGGCGGACGGGUGAGUAACACGUGGGUAACCUGCCCAUAAGACUGGGAUAACUCCGGGAAACCGGGGCUAAUACCGGAUAACAUUUUGAACCGCAUGGUUCGAAAUUGAAAGGCGGCUUCGGCUGUCACUUAUGGAUGGACCCGCGUCGCAUUAGCUAGUUGGUGAGGUACCGGCUCACCAAGGCCACGCUGCCUAACCGACCUGAGAGGGUGAUCGGCCACACUG
This 327-nucleotide ribosomal RNA is filed under the name Bacillus tropicus. RNAcentral's name for it is "bacterial SSU rRNA". It matches the Rfam family "Bacterial small subunit ribosomal RNA", at positions 1 to 315 of the family's 1533-position model. Lineage: Bacteria; Bacillati; Bacillota; Bacilli; Caryophanales; Bacillaceae. The record is from RNAcentral.